UAAGGAAUAUUGGUCAAUGGAGGCAACUCUGAACCAGCCAUGCCGCGUGCAGGAAGACGGCCCUCUGGGUUGUAAACUGCUUUUAUUCGGGAAUAAACCUAUCUACGUGUAGAUAGCUGGAUGUACCGAAGGAAUAAGUAUCGGCUAACUCCGUGCCAGCAGCCGCGGUAAUACGGAGGAUCCAAGCGUUAUCCGGAUUUAUUGGGUUUAAAGGGUGCGUAGGCGGCCUAUUAAGUCAGGGGUGAAAGACGGUAGCUCAACUAUCGCAGUGCCCUUGACACUGAUGAGCUUGAAUGAACUAGAGGUAGGCGGAAUGUGACAAGUAGCGGUGAAAUGCAUAGAUAUGUCACAGAACACCGAUUGCGAAGGCAGCUUACUAUGGUUUUAUUGACGCUGAGGCACGAAAGCGUGGGGAUCAAACA
RNAcentral lists this ribosomal RNA (422 nucleotides) under uncultured bacterium. RNAcentral's name for it is "bacterial SSU rRNA". It matches the Rfam family "Bacterial small subunit ribosomal RNA", at positions 355 to 774 of the family's 1533-position model. The record is from RNAcentral.